This 63-nucleotide transfer RNA is filed under the name Cordylochernes scorpioides. Its description in RNAcentral is "tRNA-Leu". Lineage: Eukaryota; Metazoa; Arthropoda; Arachnida; Pseudoscorpiones; Chernetidae. The record is from RNAcentral.
GUGGUGUAGUGAUAAUCACAUCCGCUUAACGCGGAAGGUUCCAGGUUCGAGCCCUGGUAGCCU